GCCACUGUAGCUCAGUGGUAAAGCACUUGCUUUGCAUGCACAAGGUCCCAGGUUCCAUCCCCACCAUCUCUAGGUAGGGCU
This is a non-coding RNA of Podarcis lilfordi (Lilford's wall lizard), 81 nucleotides long. NCBI's taxonomy places the organism in Eukaryota, Metazoa, Chordata, Lepidosauria, Squamata, Lacertidae. The record is from the annotation of a GenBank genome assembly.